UGAGAAAGGCUUGGAAAGUUAUUGAUCUAAGCAGCAGAGUUCAAGAACAGGUUCGAAUAGCCAUGGCUGGCUAGAGUAAGGUUGGAGACGGCCAUAGAACUUGAAUCAAACAAAGUUUGGGCCAAAAUUCUUCAUGGUCAGACCUUGAAACUACAGUAACCAGGCGUUUAGGAGUUAUAAGAGGCCGGUAUAGGACUUCAAUGGCCUUGGAAGCCAUGGAUUCUGGUGAUUUUAUGGUGGAAGAGGAGGGAGGCGGCUAGGGUUGGAGAGGAGCUUGAGAGAGAACUGAGAGAAGGGAG
This 299-nucleotide long non-coding RNA is filed under the name Nicotiana benthamiana. RNAcentral describes it as "long non-coding RNA (NBEN_LNC039340)". Lineage: Eukaryota; Viridiplantae; Streptophyta; Magnoliopsida; Solanales; Solanaceae. The record is from RNAcentral.